AAUAGAUACCCAGGUAGUCCACGCCGUAAACGAUGUGCACUAGAUGUGGGGGGGUAUCGACCCCCUCCGCGUCGUCGCUAACGCAGUAAGUGCACCGCCUGGGGACUACGGCCGCAAGGCUAAAACUCAAAGGAAUUGACGGGGGGCCCGCACAAGCAGCGGAGCGUGUGGUUUAAUUCGAUGCAACGCGAAGAACCUUACCUGGGCUUGAACGUGUGCUGACCGCCGGUGAAAGCCGGUUUCCCUUCGGGGCAGCAUGCGAGGUGCUGCACGGCUGUCGCCAGCUCGUGUCGUGAGAUGUUGGGUUAAGUCCCGCAACGAGCGCAACCCCCGUCGCAUGUUGCCAGCAUUUAGUUGGGGACUCAUGCGAGACUGCCGGUGAUAAGCCGGAGGAAGGUGGGGAUGACGUCAAGUCCUCAUGGCCCUUACGGGUAGGGCUACACACGUGCUACAAUGGCGGUGACAGAGGGCAGCGACCCCGGCGAGGGGAUGCUAAUCCUAAAAAAGCCGUCUCAGUUCGGAUUGCACUCUGCAACG
This 537-nucleotide ribosomal RNA is filed under the name uncultured bacterium. RNAcentral describes it as "bacterial SSU rRNA". It matches the Rfam family "Bacterial small subunit ribosomal RNA", at positions 777 to 1312 of the family's 1533-position model. The record is from RNAcentral.